Molecule: long non-coding RNA, 1620 nt
Filed under: Macaca fascicularis (crab-eating macaque)
Lineage: Eukaryota; Metazoa; Chordata; Mammalia; Primates; Cercopithecidae
Description: lncRNA (ENSMFAG00000051423.1)
Source: RNAcentral
UUUUUUUUUUUCCAAUUUGCACACACGCCAGCUCAGUCUUUGGAUGUACAGUUCCUCCGUGGUUCUAAACCAAUGGGCAGUAUCCUGGCUACUGCUCCAGCCCCUCCUGAGGCAACUCCUUCAUCUUCCAAGUCUCCAGGGUGGCCCCUAUGCACCCGGCCUGUCCCUGAUCCCUCAGCCCCCGGCCACCCAGACUGCUUGUCAGUCCCUAUGGUUUGGCCUUUUCCAGAAUGGCCCAGGAAUGGGAAUCCUACGUGAUAGCUUAUUGGGUCUGGCUUCUUUCCCUUAGCAAAAAUGCAUCUAGGAUCCACCCACGUUAGAUGCGGGCAUCACUGGCUCCUUCCCUUUUCUCACUGAGUCUUCCAUUUGGAGAGAGAACCAGCCUUGCUCUCCCCAUUCCCAUGUUGAAGACUGUCCCCGAAGGCUCCUUGUGUGAGUGACGAGGAAUCAAGCAGUGGACGUGGCAUGCAGGUUUCAUGUGGACAUCAGUUUUCAAAUCAGUGGGUUCAAUAUUUCUGAUACUUUGGGGACACGUGGUUCAAGUCCAUUGAGCUUUGUGAGUCGCUGCCAAACUGGCUGCCAAAGUGGCUGUGCCAUGUCAUGUUCCCAGCAGACAAGGAUGACAGUUUCCAGGACCCCUAGUUGCCCCAGCAUUUGGUGCUGUCAGUGUUGCCUGGAGAGGCUCAUGGGCCCUCCAUCCUGCCACCCUCCCAUGGGUCCUACCAUGGGUCCCCGUGGGUCAGGGAGAGCACCUUUCACCAUUGUGCAUGAUUUUGUUUGCUGACUUCUGUCUCCACAGGGUCCUCCUCGUUUCUGGCCCCACAUGCUCCAGUCUGGCCCAGGGCUUGGAACCAGGUGCUCAGUUCAUGGUGCCAGCUGCUCCCUGGGUCAGGGGAGGUCUUGGCAGCUCUGUCAUCCCUCCUGGGUGACCCUGGCCUCUUCUCCGGGGAAGCCCCCAUCCCUUACGUUCACUCCAUGUCUGCUGAGACCCUGUGGUUCCCAUAGGCUUACUUGGCUCCGUAGCGAUCCCUGAAGAAGAUGUGAGUCCUUAAUGUCCUGCUCACAUCCACAUCGAUCUGGUGGAUGUGUUUAGAUGACCUCUUGCCCUUCUCCUUCAUGACCUGUAGGGCAGGGCCAACAGGAGGAAGCAGCCUCAGAACAGAUGGAAGACUCCCUGCCCCAAAUGGCAGUCGGCCCACAGUCAGCACUCCGGAAGGAAGGGAAGCAGGAAGGUUUCCUUGUGCACAAAGCUGCUUUUUGGCUUGUUACUGAAGCUGGAGAGGGUCACCAGAGCCGAGUUUGUCUGUGGUGACUAUGUCACCGUUCGUGCCCAGGAUGUGCAUCUAACCAUCCCACCCACCCCCCAGGCUGGGCUUAAUGCUCCCUCCAGCUGGAGACCUGGGCUCCUGACACGGCCUGUCCUGUUUGUUGUGCUCUGGCUGAGCGUACCUUGUAUGUUCUGGGGUUUUUCCACUUGACUUCCUGUAUGUUCAGCAGGACCGACCACACUUGGCCCCUGAAGUUCAUGGGAAUGCCCUUAUAUACUCGAUCUAUCAGCUGUGGGCAGAAAACAACCUGGUGUCACAGGCCACGGGGCGACCCCAGUGAGGAGCAGAGCCC